UACAGAGGGUGCGAGCGUUAAUCGGAAUUACUGGGCGUAAAGCGUGCGUAGACGGUUAUUUAAGUCGGGUGUGAAAGCCCCGGGCUCAACCUGGGAAUUGCAUUCGAGACUGAAUAGCUAGGGUACGGUAGAGGGAAGCGGAAUUUCCGGUGUAGCGGUGAAAUGCGUAGAUAUCGGAAGGAAGACCAGUGGCGAAGGCGGGUCUCUGGACAGUUCCUGACGCUGAGGCACGAAGGCCAGGGGAGCAAACGGG
This 253-nucleotide ribosomal RNA is filed under the name uncultured bacterium. RNAcentral's name for it is "partial 16S ribosomal RNA". It matches the Rfam family "Bacterial small subunit ribosomal RNA", at positions 524 to 776 of the family's 1533-position model. The record is from RNAcentral.